UACGUAGGGGGCAAGCGUUAUCCGGAUUUACUGGGUGUAAAGGGAGCGUAGACGGCUUUGCAAGCCAGAUGUGAAAGCCCGGGGCUCAACCCCGGGACUGCAUUUGGAACUGUAUGGCUGGAGUGUCGGAGAGGCAGGCGGAAUUCCUAGUGUAGCGGUGAAAUGCGUAGAGAUUAGGAAGAACACCAGUGGCGAAGGCGAUUCUCUGGACUGUAACUGACGCUGAGGCUCGAAAGCGUGGGGAGCAAACAGG
RNAcentral lists this ribosomal RNA (253 nucleotides) under uncultured bacterium. Its description in RNAcentral is "partial 16S ribosomal RNA". It matches the Rfam family "Bacterial small subunit ribosomal RNA", at positions 524 to 776 of the family's 1533-position model. The record is from RNAcentral.